Molecule: ribosomal RNA, 668 nt
Filed under: uncultured bacterium
Lineage: Bacteria
Description: bacterial SSU rRNA
Rfam family: Bacterial small subunit ribosomal RNA
Source: RNAcentral
AUGGCUCAGGACGAACGCUGGCGGCGUGCCUAACACAUGCAAGUCGAACGGAACUGUUUUGAAAGAUUUCUUCGGAAUGAAUUUGAUUUAGUUUAGUGGCGGACGGGUGAGUAACGCGUGAGUAACCUGCCUUCAAGAGGGGGAUAACAUUCUGAAAAGAAUGCUAAUACCGCAUGACAUAUCGGAACCACAUGGUUCUGAUAUCAAAGAUUUUAUCGCUUGAAGAUGGACUCGCGUCCGAUUAGUUAGUUGGUGAGGUAACGGCUCACCAAGACCGCGAUCGGUAGCCGGACUGAGAGGUUGAACGGCCACAUUGGGACUGAGACACGGCCCAGACUCCUACGGGAGGCAGCAGUGGGGGAUAUUGCGCAAUGGGGGCAACCCUGACGCAGCAACGCCGCGUGAAGGAUGAAGGUUUUCGGAUUGUAAACUUCUUUAUUAAGGACGAAACUUGACGGUACUUAAUGAAUAAGCUCCGGCUAACUACGUGCCAGCAGCCGCGGUAAUACGUAGGGAGCAAGCGUUGUCCGGAUUUACUGGGUGUAAAGGGUGCGUAGGCGGCUUUGCAAGUCAGAUGUGAAAUCUAUGGGCUCAACCCAUAAACUGCAUUUGAAACUGUAGAGCUUGAGUGAAGUAGAGGCAGGCGGAAUUCUCCGUGUAGCGGUGAA